This 255-nucleotide ribosomal RNA is filed under the name uncultured bacterium. RNAcentral describes it as "partial 16S ribosomal RNA". It matches the Rfam family "Bacterial small subunit ribosomal RNA", at positions 524 to 776 of the family's 1533-position model. The record is from RNAcentral.
UACGUAGGGUGCAAGCGUUGUCCGGAAUUAUUGGGCGUAAAGAGCUCGUAGGCGGUCUGUCGCGUCUGCUGUGAAAACUCAGGGCUUAACCCUGAGCUUGCAGUGGGUACGGGCAGACUAGAGUGCGGUAGGGGAGACUGGAAUUCCUGGUGUAGCGGUGAAAUGCGCAGAUAUCAGGAGGAACACCGGUGGCGAAGGCGGCAUCCUGGACCGGCAUUGACGCUGGAGGAGCGAAAGCCGUGGGGAGCGAACAGG